Long non-coding RNA from Anopheles coluzzii, 2523 nucleotides. RefSeq lists it as uncharacterized. The transcript is spliced from 3 exons. Lineage: Eukaryota; Metazoa; Arthropoda; Insecta; Diptera; Culicidae. The record is from RefSeq and is a predicted model, not a curated record.
ACGCGCGCUGUGUGUGCGGCGGCGUAAUUCGCUACUCGUAUAGCCGUCUCGCUUCUUCUUGUGUGUGCUUUACAGUUGCCCACCGCUUCAAGAACAUUGCUGCUCACACACACGUCAGUCUGUGGCAAACAAUUGGAGGGGGAGGAUGUGUCGGUUUGCUCCAGAAAUCGUGUGUGAUUUUGGUGUUCUGGAUUUGGUUCCAUCGCUGUUUGUUUUGGUGAAUUUGAAAAGGUAAGAAUCAUCAACCGAUGCAAAAGUGUGAGAGUAAGAUGAUGCUGAUGGUGACUGAUACUUUUUUUUUGUUUCUUUUCCUGCUUUUAUCCACUGAUGGCGUCGAGCAUUGCCGAGGAUGUAAUCGAAUGCGGAAUAUUCUAAACGAGGAGCUUCAUUCCGGAUUUUGUUUGCAAUAAACGCUGAACUCAUCCUCCAGCUUACAACGAACGGUCAACGGAUGAGGAAGGAGAGGAGGGACGGCAAAGGUACACGCACAAACGGGCACACAUCAGCCUUGUCGGAGAACGAGAACACGGGAGGGGGAGAUCGGCAACGUAUAGAGCAUCUUCAUUUACGCUCCCUCGUGCGUUCGUGCGUGCGUGCGCUCGUGCGUCUAUGUGUGUUUUUGCGUAUGUGUGUUCAUGCCUGCGUGCGUGGCUGUGUGUGUUUUUGCCGCCUCGCAUAACGAGAUCCUACGGGAUCACCUUGCGAAAAACACCAAGAAAGGGGUAGGUGUGUGUGUGUGUGUGUGUGUGUGUGUGUGUGUGUGUGUGUGUGUGUGUGUGUGUGUGUGUGUGCUUGCAUGCGUGCGUGAUUGUGUGUGUGGUUUUUGCUAUUUCGCGAUCUCCUACGGAAUCACCUUCCCAAGGACGCAAAAACCGACGGCGGCCUGUGUAAUCUGAGUUCCCUACAAAGCUCUCCACAAAGCUCUCGUUUGCAGUCUUGUCGAGAGCUUCGCCACAGGCGCCCGAACCAUCCGCCACGCACACAUCUAAAUGUUCUGGUUUCUUCAGCCGCUCACGCAUACAAUGUGUUUGCUCCACCCCCUUUUUCGGAUUGCUUAUAGAAAUGAUGAAGCUGUUCACAUUUGCUUUACACACACAUGCAUGCUGUUUAUUGAAUAAUAUCCCUCUCCCUUCCCACGAGUGUUUUGGCAUACUCCCGCUGUGUAGACGGCAGAGCGCUUUCCCCCUUCCAAAUUUACCGUUCUUUCUCCUCUCGUUCUUCCUUCCUCCUACUGCGCUCGGGGUACCAUCCGUGCUGCGCGUGUUCAGCUAGCUUCAGUUUCGUGAUGACGUCAUGAACAGGAGCUGCGCGUGUUGAACCGGCUUCUGUUAAGUAAUGACGUCCUCACCGGGGGCUGAAUGAAGCAAUAAUGAAUAUUGUUGACGAGGCUAGCAGGUAGUCGUUGAUAAAUAGCGCACACACCUGUAACUUUUUAGACGCCAAGGGUUAGUUGAAUGUACCUGCACAAGCACACAGCAAGAAACUUACCUCAACAAUUUGCUAGGAUAAAUCAUUCCAUAACUGAGGAAGAAGGAACACGGCACAAAACGUAAAUGAGCAAAGUACGUUGCACAAGAAAUCGCACCUCACUUCAGUACAUCCUUCCACAGGGAAAGUUCUGGACAGACUGAGGAUGCCUAACACCCGGAUGAGCGCGAUAGCAGAAAAAUCAUGGUGGAUCGAGAGGGAUGGGUAGACUCGGUCCAGCGAUAUCCGCUGGUAAAUGCAUGUGUGUGUGUGACGAACGAAAGACUUCAAACCCCGCUUCCCCCGUAUUUCAUCCAUAAUUUUUCGUCACACGCACACACCUCUGUACGGGCGGCGGUUUGCCGUCCAAAAUCUAGAGAGAGAAGACAGGGCCUCUCGCUUUGGCACACAGCAAAAUCUCUCAACAACUUCGGCUCUGCUACUUGGGUUGCGAAAACACACGAGGGGGAGGGGUUGGGUGUGAGUGUGUGCUUGCCUGGGUGCGUGCGUGGCUGUGUGUGUGUGUUUUUGCGUUCGCGUUCUCCUACGGGAUCACCUUGCGAAAAACACCAUGGGGAGGAGGAGAUUUGUGUGUUGUUUUUUUUUUUCUUUGCCGUUUUGCACUCUCCCGCGGGUCUCAUGUGAUCGAUUGUUUUUUUUUUGGUUUUUCAAUAAGAAAAAAAUCUUUAAAAAAUACCAGAGGGGAGGGUGUGUGUGUGAAAAAUAAAAGAAAAUAUGUUAAACGAAGUUAAAACUGAGUCUGAACUCAUUGCAAUCCGAAACGAAGUGAGGGGGGUCAUAAAAUGUAGUAUACAUGCAUGCAACAUGUAUCGCGCCGCCGCGACGUUUCUCGCUUUCAGCCCGAUAGGAGCUUCUAAGGGAUUAUUUUAAUGGGCGCCCAGAUAGAGCCCGAUGAGACCGAAAUCGCGUGGAUAAUGGUACCGGGGAGUUCUCUACCGAAGGUGUAUCAACUUUGAUAGGCAGUUCCUACCGAAGUUAGGCUCGGGUGUUUAGCCGAAAUGCUACAAAAGAGAAAGAAAAAAAUCUCUCGUAUGC